UUACUGAAGCGUGAUUAGCCUGUGGCAGU
Molecule: non-coding RNA, 29 nt
Filed under: Mus musculus (house mouse)
Lineage: Eukaryota; Metazoa; Chordata; Mammalia; Rodentia; Muridae
Source: RNAcentral